Molecule: ribosomal RNA, 345 nt
Filed under: uncultured Sphingobacteriales bacterium
Lineage: Bacteria; Pseudomonadati; Bacteroidota; Sphingobacteriia; Sphingobacteriales
Description: bacterial SSU rRNA
Rfam family: Bacterial small subunit ribosomal RNA
Source: RNAcentral
UGGCAUGGUUGUCGUCAGCUCGUGCCGUGAGGUGUCGGGUUAAGUCCCAUAACGAGCGCAACCCUUAUCGUUAGUUGCCAGCUGGUAAAGCAGGGGACUCUAGCGAAACUGCCACCGUAAGGUGAGAGGAAGGUGGGAUGACGUCAAAUCAGCACGGCCCUUAUGUCCAGGGCUACACACGUGUUACAAUGGCCGGCACAGAGGGCAGCUACCUGGUGACAGGAUGCUAAUCUCGAAAAACCGGUCUCAGUUCGGAUCGAAGUCUGCAACUCGACUUCGUGAAGCUGGAUUCGCUAGUAAUCGCGCAUCAGCCAUGGCCGCGGUCCGAAUACGUUCCCGGGCCUU